AGCUGCGUCCGAAGUUAUGGGUUUAAUUUAUUUCUACGCAAGGGUUAGAUCAGAUCCUCUCCUCGCCCUUCUUCUUCACUUCUUCUCCACCACACCAUCCCGCACGAGGUCACACUCCUCUCGUAGCCGCUCGCUCACCGCACGCCGUCCAGCCACCGCCUUCUCCAUUCUCCCACACUAUUGGCGUACGAAGCCGUCUAGAUCUGACGCAGUCUAACGCCGCAGCCCUACGCGCCGUCCAGAUCUGACGCCGUCCAACCCUCUAGCCGCGCCAUCGCCGUCCACCUCCUCCACGUGUGUGGGUUCAACCGCCGCCGCUCCUCGCCGCCGUCGCCUUUCCCCCGCUCCUCGCCGGUCGCCCGUCUCAGAACCGAUUGCUUGCAAUGAACUACAUACAUGUAGGAACUGAUGAUAAAUUAUAUGAGGCUCACAGGGACUGGGGCAGACACUUCAUGCGAUUGUUUCCACAAUAUACUUCAUGGGACAAUCCAAAAGACCCAAAAAAACUACUGAUUAUUGGAUAUGUGUCUCCUGAUUAGUUCACUCAUUCUGUGUCAUAUUUUAUUGAGGCUCCCCUUACCUAUCAUGACUAUGCAAAUUAUGAAUUGGUCAUCUAUUCAACUGUUGUUAAGGCAGAUGCAAAAACCAACAAAUUUAGAGAUAGAGUUUUGAAAAAGGGUGGGGUUUGGAGAGAUAUCUAUGGGAUUGAUGAGAAAAAAAUUGCUAGCAUGGUCAGAGAAGAUAAGGUUGACAUCUUGGUAGAACUCACUGGUCAUACUGCAAACAAUAAGCUGGGAAUGAUGGCAUGUCGACCUGCCCCUGUUUAGAUUGCAAAAACUUGGGCUCCAGAUAACGAUGAAAUUAUUGGCAGCAUAUGGAAGGUUUUCUCAGCAUGGUUCGACAGGAAAGAAGAAAGAGAGAAUGCAGAAAAGUAUAGCUUAGAACCGACCAAUGAGGAAAUUCAGGAGAACAAUGUUUUGCAGCAAA
Molecule: long non-coding RNA, 987 nt
Organism: Ipomoea triloba (trilobed morning glory)
Lineage: Eukaryota; Viridiplantae; Streptophyta; Magnoliopsida; Solanales; Convolvulaceae
Exons: 5
Source: RefSeq, a predicted model, not a curated record